RNAcentral lists this unclassified non-coding RNA (279 nucleotides) under plant metagenome. Its description in RNAcentral is "partial contains small subunit ribosomal RNA, internal transcribed spacer 1, and 5.8S ribosomal RNA". The record is from RNAcentral.
UCUCCGUUGGUGAACCAGCGGAGGGAUCAUUACAGGACUCGCAAGACGCCUACAAACCUGUGAACUUAACUAUAAGCACUUUGCUUCGGCGGGUUUCUCGGAGGGGGUUCUCCUUCACCUAGACGCUAAACCCGCCGGCAGCCUACUAUAAUCGGUCUCUUUGCGUUUGCAUCCCGAGUACAAUCAAACAAAUUAAAACUUUCAACAACGGAACUCUUGGUUCUGUCAUCGAUGAAGAACGCCGCCGAUCGGAAGAGCAAACGUAUGAACUCCAAUCAC